RNAcentral lists this unclassified non-coding RNA (286 nucleotides) under Hevea brasiliensis (rubber tree). Lineage: Eukaryota; Viridiplantae; Streptophyta; Magnoliopsida; Malpighiales; Euphorbiaceae. The record is from RNAcentral.
GCCUCUGCCUCUGCCUCUGCUUCAAUUGAUUCUCCUCUCUUUGUUCUCUGGCCUCAAUUGAUCCUUCUCAAGCCCAUUAUGCUCUUUGUUCCCAAUACGAAGAACCUCAGGCCAUCAGCAAUCUCUCUCUUAUUCCAGGCUUCCAGUAGCAGUCCAGCUACCUCAGGCCCUCUCUCUCAAUUUUUGCGGCAGCCCCAGUGAAUUGGGGAGAGCAGCCGCGGCGCUGCGUCAACCAAGCUGCUCGGUCCAUCUCUCUGCUCUCAGCUCUUUCGGUACAAUGUCCACA